UUUUCCCUAUAUUUGGGUGGAUUAUUUUAUCUUUAUUUUUCAUGAGAGUAUUCCCCGAUAUAUAUCCACAUAUAAUUGAAUUAAUUGAUGAUAUAUCUGUGAGAUUAUUCAAUAUAUAUGAUUCAAUCCAACACCAUUUCAAUCCAAAUAAUGUUGAAGUAGAAUCAAGCCCUCAAGCAAUUAACAGUAACUCAGUGGAGCAAGAAGACAGCGGUGGCGAGCCAACGGAGCAAGAGGAUGUAGGGGUUUGAUGCUGUCACGUGUGUGAUAGCUGCUGAGCACGAUCUCAAAGCAAAUGGGCCGAGUUGGGCUUCUUGUAUUAUGAGCCCAAGCAUCACGAGUUCAGUCCAAUAAUUGUUUUAAGUUGGUUGGUCCAGUCAUUAUGAUAAGUUCAAUUGUCGAGUCGGUUCAAGAGUCCAAUCAAUUAUUUAGCACACGAUUGAGUUGAAGAUUUAGUUCAGUGGCGAAUUAUCCGGUCUUGAGAAACUGUCUUCAGUAUUAUUGAGUGCGUGGGUCUAUUUUAACAGACACUAGUUCCAUUAUUUAUAGCAAGUAAUUGUUAUAAUGGCCCGGUUGUUCUGUUAAUCUUUAUUGUAUUUAUUCUCCAGUACUGGUAAUGAAAGGGCAAAGUUCAGUUGCAGAAGACUUGUGUUGGAGGCCUUGGUUUCCUCGAAUUCACCUUAUCUCUCAUAUUUUAUUUUACUUUCAUUGACAACAGAUGCCUUAUUCUAUAUUAAUGCAAGGCGCCCCCAAUUAAGAACUCCACCAGUGACCAAGCCAUAAGCCACAACAAACAAGAAGGAAGAUGAUGAGGAUAAUUGGGAUCUGCCUGAAGAGGGAGACAUCCCCUAUUAACUGCAUUCAACGUGCCUUCAAUUUAGAAAACUCUUCACCUUUUGAGUGCAAGAAUCUCUUGGUCCAUGUAAAUGGCAUGAAGUGAAUCAUGUUCUUUGACAGAAUGCAUUAUCCCUUUUGUAUUGUUGUUUAUGUAUGAAGAUUUUGAUUUUUGCGUCCAUCUGAACGCACUUUAUGUUAGCUAUUUAUCUAUCAGCUA
This is a long non-coding RNA of Carya illinoinensis, 1054 nucleotides long. RefSeq lists it as uncharacterized. The transcript is spliced from 2 exons. The record is from RefSeq and is a predicted model, not a curated record. NCBI's taxonomy places the organism in Eukaryota, Viridiplantae, Streptophyta, Magnoliopsida, Fagales, Juglandaceae.